GCCUCUGUAGCUCAGUUGGUAGAGCAGAGGACUGAAAAUCCUCGUGUCGUUGGUUCGAUUCCGAUCGGAGGCACCA
This 76-nucleotide transfer RNA is filed under the name Eubacteriales bacterium OttesenSCG-928-G02. RNAcentral's name for it is "tRNA-Phe". It matches the Rfam family "tRNA". Rfam says of the family: Transfer RNA (tRNA) molecules are approximately 80 nucleotides in length. Lineage: Bacteria; Bacillati; Bacillota; Clostridia; Eubacteriales. The record is from RNAcentral.